RNAcentral lists this ribosomal RNA (398 nucleotides) under uncultured bacterium. RNAcentral's name for it is "partial 16S ribosomal RNA". It matches the Rfam family "Bacterial small subunit ribosomal RNA", at positions 523 to 918 of the family's 1533-position model. The record is from RNAcentral.
AUACGUAGGUGACAAGCGUUAUCCGGAUUUACUGGGCGUAAAGAGCUCGUAGGUGGUUUGUCGCGUCGUCUGUGAAAUUCCGGGGCUUAACUCCGGGCGUGCAGGCGAUCCGGGCAUAACUUGAGUACUGUAGGGGAGACUGGACUUCCUGGUGUAGCGGUGAAAUGCGCAGAUAUCAGGAGGAACACCGGUGGCGAAGGGGGGUCUCUGGGCAGUAACUGACGCUGAGGAGCGAAAGCAUGGGUAGCGAACAGGAUUAGAUCCCCUGGUAGUCCAUGCCGUAAACGGUGGGCGCUAGGUGUAGGGGUCUUCCACGACUUCUGUGCCGUAGCUAACGCCUUAAGCGCCCCGCCUGGGGAGUACGGCCGCAAGGCUAAAACUCAAAGGAAUUGACGGGG